UUUCAGAUAGAGAUUCUUUCGGAUUUCGAGUCGUAGAUAGAGGAGCUUUGCACCUCUCACCCUCAGCUACAGUUUCGUAGUCUGUGCGGCAGAUAGUUUACACAGAGCAGGACAAGAGUUUCCACGAGAUUCGUCCUCUUGCAGGACGAGUAAACGUCCCAUGAAGAGCUUAGCUAUGAUGGCGUUUCUAGGGCAAAUCUUCUUCGCUGUUGGAGUCCUGUCUUCAGUCGUUAUAUC
Long non-coding RNA from Nicrophorus vespilloides, 237 nucleotides. RefSeq lists it as uncharacterized. The transcript is spliced from 3 exons. Lineage: Eukaryota; Metazoa; Arthropoda; Insecta; Coleoptera; Silphidae. The record is from RefSeq and is a predicted model, not a curated record.